Neofelis nebulosa (Clouded leopard) is the source of this 868-nucleotide long non-coding RNA. RefSeq lists it as uncharacterized. NCBI's taxonomy places the organism in Eukaryota, Metazoa, Chordata, Mammalia, Carnivora, Felidae. The record is from RefSeq and is a predicted model, not a curated record. The transcript is spliced from 3 exons.
UGAGGGGCCACUGGGUUUGCUCUAAGGUGCCCAUUAGCCUGGGCACUCCGAGGCGAAGGGCUCUUUCUCUGCCACCCUUUCCACAGCCAGGUCAAGCUUCUACACCCAACAACUGCUCGGUGAUGUAACUGACCACACACAUUGGAAGCUCCAUAAAUGUUGGUUGAACAAAAGAGCCGUGAAUGUCAGGCCACUUCCCACAGGAAGAAUCCUGGGGAGAUGGUAAAGGAGUCCCAGUGUCAGCACAAAAGCCGCCCCCUGGAAUGAGAGGAAGGAGAGAACUUAACCAGGGCAAGGAGAAAACAAAGCUCUCUUCCAGAUCCCUUGAUGAGCUACACAAUCUCAAGAUCUGUCUUCUGCCCCAGGGAGCAAUGUAAUCCUGCUCCGCUCCAGCUGUGCAAGGAACACAGGCUUGGUUGAAGAUCCCGAUCUGAAUCUUGGCUGGUUACCACCUUCUCUCCGGGUGACGCUGCUCCUCGAUUCAGUGGAACAGAAGAGGCCUCCAAUGACUCUGGCACGUCUGGGUUGCUGGCUUCUCACUCUCCAGCCUGGCGAGGAGGAUGAGCCUACUCUCGAACGCCGGCCCACGGGAGGGGCUGUGGAUUGGAGGGCCCCAAGGGCCUCCUGUUGGCAGAACAUCAGCUCAGACUGCAAGCAGGACAGGGUGUGUGAGUCCAGGCACCUUCAGAAAUUCCUGCACCUGGCCUCCCUGUGCUCCUGGUGACUAUGCAAGCCCUUCUUCAAUCAAACUAGACAUACUUCCCCUCCCCAUCUAUCUUCAUUCCUCCUUAUCCGGGAAAUACUCCUGGGCUGUCCCAACCUGCAGUUCCAACUUCACACAGAAUACACUCUUCGUUACUUAGCGUUA